Molecule: long non-coding RNA, 3261 nt
Filed under: Hordeum vulgare
Lineage: Eukaryota; Viridiplantae; Streptophyta; Magnoliopsida; Poales; Poaceae
Description: long non-coding RNA (HVUL_LNC004362)
Source: RNAcentral
UUAAAUAGGGUAGAGCGGAGGCCGCUCAAUAGUUUAUUACAACACACCCAUACUUAGCUUAAGGGUGGAUAUAUCACAAUGGUGUAGCUCUACUGCUCGUAUAAACAGGUAGACAUAUCACAUCAGAGUGAAGUGAGAUAGCUUAAGUACUACUACACGCCAAGCGUCAGAGUGAGGCUUGACUAUUUAUUCAUGAUGGCUGAAGCGGUGAAAUUAUACAACGGCACACUCCAAGACCGCAAGACUGACUGGGACUCCUCUAGGCAUCGGACUCGCUAUCAUACUCUUCGUCCAUGAGGUCUCCUUCAUCUAUAUCUGGCCACAUCAACAAGCCAGUGAGUACUUUGAAAGUACUCGCAAGACAGUUUGCACAAAAGAUUAGAUGAAUGCAACAAUUUUACAUGAGGGUUAAUUAUCACAAUUCUCAUGAUAAAAAAAUAAUAGUAAGUUAAGUUAGAGAAGAUAAGUCGGGCGGUAAUCCUCCCGAAAUACCCAAGAAUAUAAAGAUACACCAAUCGGAUGUUUGAAGCAACGCCUCGAAAAGUUAACAGGUAAAACUAAACAACCACCAUCAAGCGUCUAAGCGACACCGCAUACAAGGUAUAAUAAUAAAUUAAAAUGCCACAGUCGGGCGUCUAUGCGACACCACGGAAAGGGCAUAAAAGUAAAUGAAUAUCCAGGUGAUACAACCAACCUUCAGGAUAUUUGAUAUAACCAAGUUUCAUCAUGGUAGUUCCAUCAUCAUAGUCACAUGUCAACAUUUAGCACUUCCAGAAACAAACUUGUUCUCCAGAGACCGACAUUUAGGUUGACACGUGACUUGUCAACCCGUCGCCCUUGACCGUGGACACACCUACUCGAAUAAUUUUGACUCUGCAGAGGGUGUACUUUUUACCCAUAGCCAGCAGGUUUCCAGUCACUAAGACUAAUCCCGUGUACGGUAUUUCAGAAGCAAACGCUUAGACCAGCACACACCUGUUUUUACCCAACGAGGCCCGGAAUCACCCGGGUCACGCUUCCACGGAAAAUCUAUAAGGCGGGGAGGCCAACAUCCUUAAUUAGCAUGGGAUCCAAUUUCUACCGCGCGCUACAAGGGGAUGCCCCCCUCUCGCUCCCAGACAAGAAACACCCAUGCCCCCUGAUCGGAUGACUCACAUUAUUCCAGGCCCAUGGAACCUUCAUCCUGACCCCUCUACUUGGUAUGUAUCUGAUAAUAGGUUUACGACCUACUACACCAUAUUCCCUUACGAAAAUACAUGUGGUAAUAUGGAAAUUAAGGUGAAGCACUCACAAGAUUUGGUCUAUGCCACCACUGGAGUUACUAAAUUUAUCCGCAUGGUGUCAUGCAUCUGUCNNNNNNNNNNNNNNNNNNNNNNNNNNNNNNNNNNNNNNNNNNNNNNNNNNNNNNNNNNNNNNNNNNNNNNNNNNNNNNNNNNNNNNNNNNNNNNNNNNNNNNNNNNNNNNNNNNNNCUAGGCGGACGGCAAAGGGCCCCAAGCAGACGACAAAGGGGAGGGGUGUGUGGGGUGGCGUUUCGGCCGUUGGGGGGGGGGCUUUGCCGUCCGCCCUCUCUUUGCCGUCCGCGUAGGGCUUCUUUGCCGUCGGCCAGCGGACGACAAAGAAGUGGCCGACGGCAAAAUAAUCUUUUUCCAUCUGCCACCUCUUUGCCGUCAGCACUGUGACAGCUGACGGCAAAGAAUACCUUUGCCAUGUGUCAGCUGACGGCAAAGGCCAAGCAGACGGCAAAUUUAUGAAUUCCAGUAGUGUAAUAAACGAAAGAUGUCGUCAACAACAUUCUUCUAGUUUCGUUACCGGGGAGUGCUAGCAGCAUUCUUCUGGUGCCAUUGCAGGGGAAGGUCUGCUGUCACGGAAUCACCAGCACACACCCGUUUUUACCCAGCGAGGCCCGGAACCACUCGGGUCACGCUUCCAAGGAAAAACUAUAAGACGGGGAGGCCAACAUCCUUGAUUAGCAUGGGAUCAAAUUUCUACCACGCGCUACAAGGGGGUGCCCCCCUUCUCGGUCCCAGACUGAAAACACCCAUGCCCCCUAACCGGAUGACUAGCAUUAUUCCAGGGCCCUGGAACCUUCAUCCCGGCCCCUCUACUUGGUGUGUGCCUGAUAAUAGGUUUGCGACCUACUACACCGUAUUCCCUUCCGGAAAGACAUGUGGUAGUACAGAAAGUAAGGUGACACACUCACAAGACUCGAUAUAUGUCGACACUGGAGUUAUUAAAUUUAUCCACACUCUGUCGAGCAUCUAGCAUGAUCCGGCCACAACCUAUCACAUCCCACGUGACUAGCCUGUCCACAAAUUCUCAUCAUCACCUUGGUGAUCAACUUUGUCAAGCAUGGAAUCAUAUCAUAUCCGAGUGUUCUUAGGAAGGAGUUUAUUUGCAAUCCUAUUAGCAAACAUCACAUCAAUUAAUUAAAUAGCUUGCCUCGGUCGAUGAAGUUGGGAUUUAGCUCGGUGAAGUUGACGACAACGUCUCCCCCUUCGGUAUCUACGUCACACACAUCCGAUCUAACAUAAAUACAAAUAGUCCAAAAUAUUGUCCCAAAGUAUUUUUGACUAAAUAUCAAAAAAUAACUGGACAGGAAAAUAAUUAUUUUGCAAAAAGAAUCAAGUGAAAAGACCCUAUAGUUUAAAAGUUAUAAAGGAAUGAAGGGGGCUGACGAGAAAGAAGAAAACGACUUGGUGGAACUACACGAUCCUAUGCCGAAGGCGCACUCUCGCGAAAUACGCGAGAGGAGAAUGAUUCGCAUAAAAACAGGACACUCACAAUGGGCCACCAAUGUCAGGUUUCAAAUCACCUCGCCGGCGAUAGGAGAAUAGCGAUGUUGCCGACGACAUUUUGAUGUGAACCAGAGGGAAAGGAGUGGGUAUAUGCACUCACUGGAUGAUUCCGCAACUGAGGGAGGUGGAGGACGUCGCCGGUGAGCACUACGUGGACGGCAACUCCAACUCCGGCGGAUGACGCUUUCAGGUACAUAUGGAUCUCAUUGGUGAGGCCUGCGAACGCCGAAUUGAAGCACGAGUUAGAUGAGAGGGUGCUCUAGGAGGUUACUUGCUAAGUCUGGGCCGCGGAGAUACGCUCACCUGAGUGAAUUUAACCGAAACCCGAAGCUAAUCGGGGCAGUCGGAGGCGGGGAAGACGACCCUCCAAAGGCCCUUCGAGUUGUUUUGGCGAGACUCUCGUGAGGUAAGGAGGAGGGGAUGGCUUCACAAGGACUCUAGGGCUCUAUUUAUAGGCGAGCGAGA